Molecule: ribosomal RNA, 445 nt
Filed under: uncultured bacterium
Lineage: Bacteria
Description: bacterial SSU rRNA
Rfam family: Bacterial small subunit ribosomal RNA
Source: RNAcentral
GUGAGGAAUAUUGGUCAAUGGCCGUAAGGCUGAACCAGCCAAGUAGCGUGAAGGAUGACCGCCCUAUGGGUUGUAAACUUCUUUUAUAAAGGAAUAAAGUCACCUACGUGUAGGUGUUUGUAUGUACUUUAUGAAUAAGCAUCGGCUAACUCCGUGCCAGCAGCCGCGGUAAUACGGAGGAUGCGAGCGUUAUCCGGAUUUAUUGGGUUUAAAGGGAGCGCAGACGGGCUGUUAAGUCAGCUGUGAAAUGCCGCGGCUCAACCGUGGACCUGCAGUUGAUACUGGCGGCCUUGAGUGCGGUUGAGGCAGGCGGAAUUCGUGGUGUAGCGGUGAAAUGCUUAGAUAUCACGAAGAACCCCGAUUGCGAAGGCAGCCUGCCAAUCCGUUACUGACGUUCAUGCUCGAAGGUGCGGGUAUCAAACAGGAUUAGAAACCCUAGUAGUCC